GUCAACUUGUUCUUGGAAGUUAUUUCGAAAAGUGUUAGAUAAUGCCUAAAAAAAAAAAUAGCUGGAAAAGGAACAAGUCCGAAACGGAAUUACACUUCAAAUUGAGAAUGUGAUACAGCGAGCCGCAACAAAAUUGAGCACAAAUUUAAAGAAGAAUAAAACAAAACGAUCGCAAAUAUAAAGAAGAAUGGGAUAAAAUCAGAUCAGGAUUACGCAGCCCGUAUAUCUUCCAAGCAAAAGACAGCAAAAACCAAAAUUACAACAUAUUUGAAACAUAGAAUUCGGGACACAAUUUAUUCUAUGUACGCCAGAAAAGAAUAUGUAAUUUUGGCAACAAGAGAAAAGUUCAGGGAAGAAAUUGAAUAUUUUGUUUCUGUGAUCUUUGAUUGUUUUCCAUUGACUCCUUAAGAAGAUGAAUCAAUAGUAUAGGCUUCAAGUGGAAAAAAUCAAAUAACAGAAAAUAUUUGAUGGACUUGCCAAAUAUUGUUCAUAAAAGAAUCAAUUUUUUAAGGGAGUAUAUCAAAAAUAGAAAUGUAGGUCCGGAAGGUUUUACUCCAGUUUUCGUUGACGAGACGUGGAUUUUUAGCAAGGGAUCAUUUCGUAGUAGCUGGCAAGAUGACACCAAGCACACGGAUUCAAGGAAAAACAGUGAAGGUCAUCGUUAUAUCGUGGUCCACGCCGGAACCAAAGAUGGCUUCAUCAAGGGUGCAAAUUUAAUAUUCAAGAGUGGAUUAAAGACGAGAGAUUAUCAUGACAAUAUGAACAGGAAAACUUCGAAAACUGGUUUAAAACUCAGCUGGUUCCAAAUCUUCCCCCAAAGUCAUUUAUAAUCAUGGACAAUGCAAGUUACCAUUCUGGUUUAUUAGAAGAAAUCCCGAGAAAAUCUUGGACAAAGCAGAGACUGACCGAAUGGUUGAAGAAAAAGAAUAUUGGCUUUCCAGAAAAAGCCAUGAAAAAUAAAAUAUGGAGUAUUGCACGCAGAAACUGCCCUAGUGAAAAAAAGUACUUCCUUGAUGAAUAUGUUAAACCUUUAGGACACAAAAUUUUGCGACUGCCACCAUAUCAUUGCCAGUUUAAUGCAAUUGAAAUGGUAUGGUCGGAAUGUAAACGAAAAUAUGAUCAAUAUAGUUCCAAUUUUAAGGGGUCACCUUCAGAAGUUCUGACUACAUGGGAAAGGGUAAUAAACGAAAUUUCUAUAGAUCAUUGGCAAAAAUAUGUUUUUCAUAUAGAAAAGGUAAUUGAAAAGGCUUGGGAGGCAAUAAAAGUGUGUGAUACCUAUGACAUUCUGCCACUUGUGAUUACGACUGACGAAGACGACGAUGACGAAGACAAUAUCUCUGAUUUCAGUUCUGACUCUGACAAUACUGACGAGAUUGAUUAAGCUUUUUUUGUUCUAGCAAAUUUUAUUUUAUGAUCGUCGUUUAAGUAUUCAAUCAUAUCGUUGCAAUUUCAUUAACUUGGUAAUGCAAUAUGACGUGUUUUUCUUGAGUUUGUAUGUUUUAUUUUUUGGAAUGGUAUUUUCAUUUUAAUGUGUUAACAUAUUCCUUCAAGCAGCAUUUUUUUUCAUGAACAAGUAAAUUAAAUUGUCAGUAUUUAAAUUUUUCCCAGUGAGUUAAAAUAAUUUUAUACCAUUAUUCACAAUUUUUGUAAGCUCGCUUUUAUUAAGUUUACUGCUCGUGCCGAAUUCUACUUUUCAAAUAUGUUGUAGAUUUGGUUUUUGCGGUCUUUUGCUUGGAAAAUAUAUGAGCAGCGUAAUCGUUGUUGUGCUCAAUUUUGUUGCAUCUGCGGCUCGCUCUAUCACAUUCUCAAUUUGAAGUGCAAUUCCGUUUUGAACUUGUUUUUUAUGUCGCAUUAUUUAUGAUUAAUUAUAAUAAUAUUUGUUAAUUGUUAAGUUUGUUAAUAAUACAAUA
This is a long non-coding RNA of Anthonomus grandis grandis, 1910 nucleotides long. RefSeq lists it as uncharacterized. The record is from RefSeq and is a predicted model, not a curated record. NCBI's taxonomy places the organism in Eukaryota, Metazoa, Arthropoda, Insecta, Coleoptera, Curculionidae. The transcript has 3 exons.